RNAcentral lists this ribosomal RNA (1477 nucleotides) under metagenome. Its description in RNAcentral is "bacterial SSU rRNA". It matches the Rfam family "Bacterial small subunit ribosomal RNA". The record is from RNAcentral.
AGUCGUACGACUUCUACGGGAUUUCUUUCGGGAAAACCUGUAGAGAGAGUGGCGCACGGGUGAGUAACACGUGGAUAAUCUACCUUAAGGACUGGGACAACAUUUCGAAAGGAAUGCUAAUACCGGAUAAGCACACGGAUCGCAUGGUCUGUGUGAAAAGCUGGCCUCUGCUUGCAAGCUAGCACCUUUAGAUGAAUCCGCGGCCCAUUAGCUAGUUGGCGGGGUAACGGCCCACCAAGGCAACGAUGGGUAGCCGGCUUGAGAGGGCGACCGGCCACACUGGAACUGAGACACGGUCCAGACUCCUACGGGAGGCAGCAGCAGGGAAUUUUGGGCAAUGGGCGAAAGCCUGACCCAGCGACGCCACGUGAGUGAUGAAGGCCUUUGGGUUGUAAAGCUCUUUCAGCAAAGAAGAAGGUAUACCUUUUAAAUAAACUGGUAUAUUUGACGGUACUUGCAGAAGAAGCCCCGGCUAAUUACGUGCCAGCAGCCGCGGUAAUACGUAAGGGGCGAGCGUUAUCCGGAUUCAUUGGGCGUAAAGGGCAUGUAGGCGGUGGUAUAUGUCGAAUGUGAAAACCCAAGGCUCAACUUUGGGACUGCAUUCGAAACUGUAUCACUAGAGUGCUGGAGAGGAAGUCGGAAUUCCAAGUGUAGCGGUGAAAUGCUUAGAUAUUUGGAAGAACACCAGUGGCGAAGGCGGACUUCUGGACAGCAACUGACGCUGAAAUGCGAAAGUGUGGGGAGCGAACAGGAUUAGAUACCCUGGUAGUCCACACUGUAAACGGUUGGAACUAGGUGUAGGAGGCGUCAACCCCUUCUGUGCCGGAGUUAACGCAUUAAGUUCCACGCCUGGGGAGUACGAUCGCAAGGUUGAAACUCAAAGGAAUUGACGGGGGCCCGCACAAGCGGUGGAGCAUGUGGUUUAAUUCGAUCAAACCGAAGAACCUUACCAGGGUUUGACAUAUUUACGACCGCCAUGGAAACAUGGUUUUCCCUUCGGGGACGUUUAUACAGGUGUUGCAUGGUUGUCGUCAGCUCGUGCCGUGAGGUGUUGGGUUAAGUCCCGCAACGAGCGCAACCCCUAUCGUCAGUUACCAGCGGGUAAAGCCGGGCACUCUGGCGAGACCGCCGGUGUUAAAUCGGAGGAAGGUGGGGAUGACGUCAAAUCAUCAUGGCCUUUAUAUCCUGGGCUACACACGUGCUACAAUGGAUGCUACAACGGGUUGCAAUACCGCGAGGUGAGCUAAUCCCUUAAAGGCAUUCUCAGUUCGGAUUGCAGGCUGCAACUCGCCUGCAUGAAGUUGGAAUCGCUAGUAAUCGCGAGUCAGCUAUAUCGCGGUGAAUACGUUCUCGGGCCUUGUACACACCGCCCGUCACACCACCCGAGUGGGGUGCACUCGAAAUCGCCGGCCUAACCAGCAAUGGAGGGAGGCGCCUAAGGUGUGCCUGAUAAGGGGGGUGAAGUCGAAACAAGGUA